Molecule: long non-coding RNA, 7387 nt
Organism: Erpetoichthys calabaricus (reedfish)
Lineage: Eukaryota; Metazoa; Chordata; Cladistia; Polypteriformes; Polypteridae
Exons: 2
Source: RefSeq, a predicted model, not a curated record
UAUAAAGGUGGCCAAAAGUAGAUUUAGAGUUUUUCAAAUGGAAAAAGACAAGCAGGUUAUGCUUAUUAUAAUAGCUUUAUUCAUGUUUGUUUGUAUUCAUUUAUAUAUAUACUAGGGUGCCCAACCCUCAGUUGCGGCCAGAAUAUUAGUAAAAUCUGUAAAUGUACAAAAGAGAAAUUAUUACUUAUUAGAGUCAAAAUCAUGAAAUUCUAUAAAUAUGUAAAAGAAAAAUUUAUUUUUAUUUAACAGUAAAAAAACGUUAAACUGAGGUCCACUAUGCUCAAUGAGUAUUCAUAAGAGAGUAAAUAAACAAUCCAUUAGUUUUGACUGACAUUCUUAUAGAUAAAAAAACAUUUUUUUAAAAAUGACUCACCCAUGAAAACUAAAGUGGUAUGCAAUGGGUCAUCGUAACUCGACCUUCUUGAUAUUUUUUAGUUUAUAAUUUAAAAACAAUAAGAAUCAGAAAAUCUAACAACAUCACAUUAAAGAUCGAUAAAUUCUGAAAAGAAUUAUACCAAAUAUAUAUAUAUAUGUAGGUUUUUAAAUAAGCCUGAUUUAAAGUGUGACAUAAAAACGUCACAUAAAAUCGUCACAUAAAAUCUUAGGAUUUUAUAUAUAUAUAUAUAUAUAUAUAUAUAUAUAUAACCUGCUAUAUCUUAACUACAGGGUCACAAGGGGUCUGCUGGAGCCAAUCCCAGCCAACACAGGGUGCAAGGCAGGAAACAAACCCCGGGCAGGGUGCCAGCCCACCGCAGAACACACACACACACACACCAAACACACAUUACGGACAAUUUAGAAUCGCCAAUGCACCUCACCUGCAUGUCUUUGGACUGUGAGAGGAAACCGGAGCGCCCGUAAGAAACCCACGCUGACACGGGGAGAACAUGCAAACUCCACGCAGGGAGGACCCGGGAAGCAAAUGUGUGUGUGUGUAUAUAUAUAAAUAUAUAUUUACAUAUAUAUAAUAUAUAUACUAAGUGAAAUACCCAGCAUUGCCCAAGAGAAAAAUAAAGUUUUUUUUUUAUUAUUUUUUGAGAAAAAUAUAAUUAAAAAAAAAACGCAACUUUAAAAAUAAAAAUAAAUUAACAAACAAUGAAGACUCACUAAUGUGCUUGUCUUGCGGUCUUGUAUGUGUGUUAUCAUCCAGUUGACGCUCGGAACCAGGUGGGUGGGCUCAGGUGGCCGCAAGUGACGUCAGACGUCAUCACAUCUGUAGACAGAAUAAGAGGAGAGGCAUUAGCAGGCAGCACCAACCCUUGACUUAGGGUGAAAUUGCACUGAAUUUGUCUCCCAGGCACGUGUGUGUGUGCAGCAAUGUAUACAAACAUGCGUGUUUCUCGUCUGAUCUUCCAAAACUAUGAUUCCGGCUGAGGGCCACAACACACACACAUGCACACACACAUUUACACAGUAUAUACUUACUCCAUAUUGUCAACAGAAGUAGAUGGGCAGCAGUUCAUGCAUUGGCAUGUACCACCCUGGUAAGCCCCAUUUAAUGCCAGUCAAAGAGAAAGUAAAUUUCUAUAAAGUAACAGCCACAGCGUUGUAUUUACAUGGGAGUGCUGGAGCACAGGAGCUCUGGGUCUCUCCCUAAAUGAACGCUCACUAGACCACUAGAGUGGACCAAAUGUAUAGCGCUCACCUUCAGGGCGCCUGGUCAGGUUUCUUCUGGUGUUUGCCCCUCAGAUUUGUAGUUAGCGACUGUGUCCCCUCUCGUCCCAGUUGGUAGUACAUUACUUUACCAUGCUACAGCCUUGAAAGUGCCCCCCAAGCACACGCUGUUUGACAAUAUGCACACCCACAUAUAUAUUUAUACAGUAUGUAGGGUAUUGAAAGGGAAGGUCAGCUAACUGAGCUUCAUCUUUUUCAUUUCAACCAAACCUUUUCUGUUCCUGCUUUCCAUCGAUGGCCAUCACUUGAUAGCCAUUUCUCCAAAUCAGGGGCUUCGCCUUAUUUGCACUUUACAGCCUCUCACUUGAUCUCGUGUCACCCAAGUGUGAGUGCCAUCAGCUCCUAGGAGCUCCAAUGGCAUGGGCCACAGUAUGGCGUUGCAGCCAUUUGGCAGCGUUGGCACCGGGUGCACACAAACAAUGAAUGUAAUUUAAACUAAAGGGCAGACAAAUGCAUGCACUUUAUAGACCUCGAAUGAAGAAGAGGAUUUGGAGAAAGGGUCCUGGGCUUGCAGGCAGGACACAAUUGCUAUCAAUGCUGCUUCCACCUUCCCGUGUCUACUUUGGCAUGUUUUUUUUUUGUUUUUUUUUUGAGAGAUACACACUUGUAACACUUGUCACCCCCAAAAGUUAUUUUUGAUCAAAACCCUUAUGGAAAUGGCUGAGCCGUGUCCUCCAAACUACUGCAGAUGCCAGAUUGUGCCAGUGUAUUGGCCAUUCGUAACUUCUUUAACAAUAAUGAUGGCUGCUUUUGGAGGGACUCUGUCUUGUCACAUAUGCAAUGAAAUUCUUACACGCAUGUCUACCCAGCAUGCAACACGUCACUGCUCUCCACAGCCAAGGGCAUUCUGCUAAAAUACAGAACUCCAUUAAUUGACUAGAAAACACAAUUCCAGUUCCCUGAUGUACUCCUUAUGCCGCUAAUUUACUGGAAUUCUAUUACUCCUCCAUCCAUUUACUGGACUCGCUUAAUGUGAAUGUGGGGUCAUAGUGAGCUAAAGCAUCAGGUUCAAAACAAGAACCAAUCCACCACUAAGCACAAUGGACAAGUUUCACUCCUGAUCGGUGGGCUGCAGUUCACUGCUAGGUACACUGGGUAAGUUUUGCCCCUGAUUAAUUCAGGAGGUGUAGUUCACUACUAGGCACCCUGGUCAAACUUCAGUUUGAUUGACACAGAUUUGGGGCACUAAUUCAAUGCUAGGCACACUGGGUAAGUUUUAGCCCAGAUCGAUUGGUGGGUACCAGUCCUCUGCUAAGCACACUAGUCAAGUUUCACCCAGAUAGACUGGGCAGUGCCAGUCCAUCACUAGGCACACUGGACAAGUUUCACUCCAGAUUGAUUGUUGGGCAGUGCCAGUCCACCACUAGACACACUAGACAAGUUUCACUCCAGAUUGAUUGUUGGGCAGUGCCAGUCUACCUCUAGGCACAUUGGGCAAGUUUCACCCCUAAUCAAUUGGGGGAUGCCAGUCCAUCACUAGGCAUGUUUAACCCUUGGUUGACUGGGAGGGUGCCAGUCCACCACUAGGUAAGUUUCAUUCCUGGUCAAUUAGGGGGUGCCAUUCCUGCACUAGGCAUACUGGGAAGGCUUCAACCCAAUUGUCAUGGGGAGGGAGGGUAGUAGUCCACCACUAGGCAUGCUGGCCAACUUUCACCGCAGACUGAUUGUUAGGCACCGGUCCAUCGUUAGGCACACAGGAUAAGUUUCACCCUAAUUGAUUUCAACAAUCUCCCUGUAGGCAUUCUGUACCAGUUUAACCUCUAAUUGACUGGGAGAGUACCAGUCCAUCAUUGAGCACACUGGGUAAGCUUUACUUCUGGUCAGUUAAGGGGUGCCAUUCUGUCGCUAGGCAAAUUGGGAAAGCUUCACCCCAAUUUUCUAGGUUGGGGGUACCAGUCCACAACUUGAGAUGCUGGGCAAUUUUCACACCAGACUGACUGGUGGGCACCAGUCCACUGGUAUGCACACAAGAUGUUGCCAGUCCACCGGUAGGCACGCUGGACACGUUUUCCCCUGAUCAAACUCCCCUGCAUGUCUGUUUCAAUCUGCACCUUGCCCAAUUUCAUGCGUUCAGCUCUGGUUGACUCCUUAUAGCUCCUUGCUCUGUGGAUUAGCAUAUUGUGAUUUCUAAUUUGCAUAUUGCCACUCCCCUUUUUCGGUUCCUGCCUUGUAAGCAGGCGACUGUUAUUUUUUAGUCAUUUUCAAUAAACGGACGCCUCUCGUAAGCACAUCUGGUGACUUUGCAGUGACACUGCUCCUCACUGUGUUUCUCAGAGCAUUAGCUUCUAAAGGCCAUGUCACAUUUGGUGGCUUUUCCAGAGAUUUUUCAGUCGUAUUCAGUCGGUGACAAGCUCCUAUAAAGUCAAUGGUGUGAUGUGACAUACCCAGCGACCGACUCCAACUGGUCCGCCACUCAAUCUGACAGAAUCAAGCUGGUUAAGUUAACAUCCUCUGGUGAUAAGAUCAGCAAUGGCAGUCGGCAGAUCUGACAUACCCCAUGACUAGAAUCCGUGUGAUGUCACAUCGGCUUAAGGUUGUGUUAGCCACCAGCAGCCCAGUAUGUGGCAUGUUCAGGGUUGAGUGACCUUCAGCUUGAGUCACAUGUGUUUCACAAUUGAAGAUUAAACCCUGCAGUGUCUGAGCCAAGGUCCCUGUCUCCUAUAUCUCUACCAUGGAGCUUUAAAGACCCUAAACUGGUUAGGCUUAUCCAGAGCAGCCCACCAUGAGCUCCUCAGUGGGAGCUUGAAUGUGAUGCUACUCUUUCAUUCAUUCUGCUUACCCUGUGGUUGUACAGGGGCCAAAGCUUAGCACAGAAGAAUUGGAGGAAAAGACAAAAGGCAAUCCUGGACAAGACCCCAGUCCUUUGCAGACCACCCAUUUAGAGUAGCCCCUUAACCUAACAUUAGAACAGUUUGGACGAGACUCGAUCAUUCAGCCUAACACAGCUUGUCAAUCCUGCUCAACUAAUGUCGAGCCCCUAAAGUUGGCCAGGAUUUGAAACUGGGACCCCCAGAACCACUGUGCACCCUUUAUGGUCAGCAAAGCUAACAGAUUUCAAUUCUGCUACACUGUUCAUUUUCUACAGUGGUUGUUCCUGCCUUGCACCGUAUGCCUGCUGGGAUAACCUCUGUGCUCGGGAUAAGGUGAGUUUGGAAGAUGGCUGGGUGGAUGGACUUUGGAGUAGCACUCGGAUGCCACCUGUUUUUGUCUGCCUCCUGCAGUUGACCAGUUUGAUUUAAACACACAUUUGUGGAGUGGCCAUACUUAAUAAUAAAAAUACAUUUUAUUUAUAUAGCGCCUUUCCCAUGCUCAAGGCGCUUCAUUUUUAAUCUUCUUUAGUAUUGCUGUGUCUCUGUGGUGAGUGGGAGCCCCCUAGGGGUGGGCAGAGGAAGUUCUCGUCUUGAACAUUUCAGUUGCUUUUCCCAGUCUGCCAGAGGUUGUCAGGUUUUUGACUCCUCCUUUUUUGUUUUGCUUGUCAUUAUUAGUGGUGGGGUUAAUUUGUGAGGGGGGGGGGGGGGGGUCAUACACAGAGACACAUCUGCUAUCCAUGGCCAGUCCAGAUAAAUGUAAAUUCCACCCAACCAGAAGGGGGUGCAGUUCUGCAGAUGAAACCCUAAGGCUGAUUGUCCCAUUUGAAAGUAUUUCAAAUUCGUCGUGCUGAUUUUCCAUGAGUAAAGUGAUAGCGGUAACCGGCAGAUGCUUAUGCCCAAUUACGGAAUAUUCACAGGAACUUCAUCCAACCAUCUUCCAAAUCUAAUGAUCUGGGGCGGGAUCACGGAGAAGAUACAGCCAAUCCCAGCAAGCAUCAGGAGCAAGGCAGGAACAGUCUGUGGUUGGGGGGGCACCAGUCCAUCACAUGGUGAAUACACACACACACACACACACACACUGGGGCCAAAGAAGCACCGCCAGUCCGCCUAAGCUGCAUGUCUUUGGACUGUGGGAGGAAGCCGGAGCACCGAGAGAACAUGCAGUGCUUAAAUUAAAGAAAUGUCUGAGGUUUGUGUCUGAAGCAGCGUGCAGCUGCGCACUCGGGUGGGCUUCUAUGACUAUUUAAAGGGCCUUUGGGGUGGACUGAGCUGCUGUGACGGACCAAUCAGAGCACCGAACUGCCACCCCCAAUUAACUGAUUGACCGCUUUGCAGACGGGUUACUCAGUGCUCUUUAGUCCCCCAUCAAUUUACUGUAAGUCCAGGAUAUCAGCGCAGCAUCCCACUAGUGUCUCACUCCAGCCCACCGGGGUAACGUCAUUCCAGACGGGCUUCUUCAGCCUGCUACUCACUUGGUGAUUUCCGACUGGAGGAGCUGCCCAGUCAGGGUCCGGAGGAGGUGGUCCUGUGCGAAAGGUGCUAUAUAAUAAAAAGUAUAUUGGAAAUCAUGAACAGGGCCAGUUACCUGAAGGCAGUGCAAGGCUGCGCCCUGCUUGGAAGGGCGUCCGCCAUACUGUACGUAACGUAGAAGAUCGAGCAAAUUUUGCAGAUCUUUAAGCAGAAUACUGACAUGUGGCCAAGCAGGGGGCUUAUAUGGUGACCUUUGUUCACCGUGCACAGUUUUGAAAAGUUAAAAAGUGAGUGCAGAUUAAGAUUUUUGUGGUACCACCCAUCCAUUUGUCCAGGUGCCCACCUCAGUGCCUCACAUCACUCCUCGCUCACAUUUAUGUGCUCGUUGUCCUUUUUGGUCAUAUCUAUCUGAGGCAGACACGUUCCCAGAGGUUGGAUGCCCUCUUAUUAGGAUGUCAGGGUUUGCCCCCCCCCCAAAAAAAAACACACACAACACCCCCCCCCCUUAUUUUGAGUUUCUUUUUCUAUGCAAAGUUUUGUGCUCUUGAUAUGACCGAAUGAGGAGCACACAGAGAAUGCCCAAAGUUAAGUUAUGUGGGCCCUGCGGACGCCCUGAGCGCAGACGUGUGGUGGUUGAGCCCCUGCUGGGGGGUCUCGUGUCCUCUUAUAUAACCAUUAGAGCCUUGGAAACAUCUUCAAUGCCAAUGAAUCGUGCGAUCCUGCAUUUAUUUGCUCUUGCUUAGCCGCUCAUUACUUCUAAUAUGAAAGCCGGUCAGCGUUGUCCGAGGGAGACGUGCGCUCAGCCGCCACAGCACAGUUCCGACUCGAACGGGCGACUCGAUCCAACUUGACCCUCACACGGUUACCUCAGGAAACAGCGUUGCCCACAUUCUCCCCCCAAUGCCCCCGCAAAGCCAUGUCAGACCACAUUGGUUUAUGUGUGUUGGUACCAGCCUUGUGCCCGUUAGGUUAGGGUUGACGAGCCAAAUGUAGUGUGGGGUCACCGCUGCCGCAGGCUCACCCAACAAACUACCUGCCACUUGGACUGCGGCCGGGCGACAACUCGACAAGAACGCUCCCGACAACGGUGUCCUCCCUGCGUCCAGGAAUUAUUCAACUGAUGUAUUUAUGUGCAUUAAAUCCUUAUGUAUGUUUUUAUAGAGUUGUUUUGAUUUCGAUAUAUUGAAUAUGAAAGGAAAUAUAUAUAAAUAUAUAUAUAUAUAAAACUCUUUCUAUUAAAUAUACUGUAUUUACAUACUGUGUAUAUCUACAGUAUAUAUAGAGAGACAGACACGUUACAAUUUUGCGCUGUGUGCAGGUCUAGGGUUACUCAUAAUCAAGCCUACUAGAGACUAAACUAUUAGAGCUACCAAAAUGAUGUACAGUAGGACAUGAAAUUGAAAUAAAGCAUUGGAGCAGAGAUUUUUUUCUGA